Molecule: ribosomal RNA, 299 nt
Filed under: Clostridioides difficile
Lineage: Bacteria; Bacillati; Bacillota; Clostridia; Peptostreptococcales; Peptostreptococcaceae
Description: partial 16S ribosomal RNA
Rfam family: Bacterial small subunit ribosomal RNA
Source: RNAcentral
CUUCGGUGCCGCAGCUAACGCAUUCAGUACUCCGCCUGGGCAGUACGCUCGCAAGAGUGAAACUCAAAGGAAUUGACGGGGACCCGCGCAAGUAGCGGAGCAUGUGGUUUAAUUCGAAGCAACGCGACGAACCUUACCUACGCUUGACAUCCCCAUGACAUCUCCUUAAUCGGCGUGUUCCUUUCGGGGACAUUGUUGACAGGUGGUGCCUGGUUGGCUACAGUUCUUGUCGUACAACGGUGUGUUACGUCCCGCACCGCGCGCACACUGAUCCUUGUCUCGCCGUCAUUACGUGGGGC